GAUGAACGCUGGCGGCGUGCUUAACACAUGCAAGUCGAACGGGAUCCAAGGGGUGCUUGCACUUUUUGGUGAGAGUGGCGAACGGGUGAGUAACACGGGAGUAACCUGUCCUUUUCUUUGGGAUAAGCAUUCGAAAGGGUGUUUAAUACCUUAUGUUCUGUCUGCCUCGCAUGGGGUGGGUGGGAAAGGCUUUGGCCGGAUUUGGGUGGGCUCGCGGUCUAUCAGCUUGUUGGUGGGGUGAUGGCUUACCAAGGCUUUGACGGGUAGCCGGCCUGAGAGGGUGGUCGGUCACAUUGGGACUGAGAUACGGCCCAGACUCCUGCGGGAGGCAGCAGUGGGGGAUAUUGCACAAUGGGCGAAAGCCUGAUGCAGCGACGCCGCGUGGGGGAUGAAGGCCUUCGGGUUGUAAACUUCUUUUGCUCUGAACAAGGCAUGCCAGUGGGUGUGUUGAGUGUAGGGGUUGAUUAGCGCCGGCUAACUACGUG
RNAcentral lists this ribosomal RNA (485 nucleotides) under uncultured bacterium. RNAcentral's name for it is "partial 16S ribosomal RNA". It matches the Rfam family "Bacterial small subunit ribosomal RNA", at positions 28 to 507 of the family's 1533-position model. The record is from RNAcentral.